UAAGAACUGACCAAAAGUCACAUAUAUAUUUCAGUAUUUAAGCACAACUAUGUAUACACAUACAGCCUACCUUUCAGCUGCAGAUGGAGCUGGACCAGGAGGUGAAGGAAUGCAUGAUCCCUCCCUGCGUCUCUGGGGAAAGUUCUGGAAGACAACUUUCUCCAGAAUGAUUUUUGUGGUUUAAAGACAGCCGCACCAUCCUGACAGACUUCCUCUUCUCAUUGAUAAUGUCUAGGGGAGGACUGAGUGUGGCUUUUGUUCUGCCGUGAGGUGACAAAUCCUUCCCCACAUAGCGCUGAGGACGCUGCAGUUUGUGGCGGGAAAAUGUUCAGUCCCACACCUGCACGUGUGGCAAUCAGACGGAGGUGAACUACAUGAGAAGCAUCAAAAAGCAUCAAAAAGGAGGAUUUUCCUGCCCAAAACCACUUCAGAAAAUACCCUAGCUGUUAGAUUUCCAAAUCUGCACAGGUAAGGCUAGGCACUGUGCAGUCAGUCCAGGGGAGCAGGACGGCCUCCGUGUUGGGCGCCAUUUUGUCAGCAUCCCUCUGCCAGAGCUGCUCCCGGAAGGGACUGCAUGGAAACCGGAUCUUAGAGCAACAUCGAUCUGCACUUGUCACACUUGAGUUGCUGGUUGUCUGCGAUGUCAGAGCGUACCACCGUAUGCAUCAAGGGCACGGGAAGAGGCUACGUCGUCCUGUUGCCAUAGGUGUGAAGCCGCCUCCAGAGCUUCACGUCGGAUGGCAUCUGCUACCCCCGGCAUUAACCGGCUCUGACAGCGCCCAUCGAGAAGGUGCAACCCUUCAAAUACUUGGUUUUAAUAAAUGCACUUUCACCCAUCUUUAAAGGGUUUAUUUAUAACAAAAAACAGAUCUGUUUUUCCUAAUUUCAUUUGAAACUAAGAGGCUGGUGCAAGGAUUUUCAGUGGGAGUUCUGCUUCGGUUAAGACUGAAGGAACCAAGCCCAGCUUUCGCCAAGGAAAGAUGCUGCUCCUUCAAAACAAAAGCCACUAAGAGACAUAGCAGCGCUCUGCCCAGUGUUUGAAGACCCUCAUAGUGAUAAUAUUAACGACAUUUAGUUUUACUAACCUGAAUUUACACUGGCCCUGAAAAUGCCCAAGUUCUCCCAGCUGCGCUGCCCUUUUAAAGGCUCUAUCAUUAUUAGCUUGUUACAGUCGAGUGAUGGCAAAGCCCUAAUUCCUGUUCCUACUGUUCUGUCAUCUUUAGAAGAAAAAGGACAGAAAGCCUACAGAAGCCCAUAAAAUACCAUUUACUCAAGAGAUGGUUGGUUUCUUCCUAGCAGUCACUACCCAUCUUCCAUACAAGAUAAGAACCUUCAUGUAAUACUUCUGGAAAACGCAGCAUUUCUGUGCACAGUAACUACCUUUGAUGUUCCUAUUCCUAUAAAAGCUUGCAUCACUUUCUCCUUUCCAUAAGAUGGAGAAGUCCAGGUGCCAUUCCGUGCAUCAGUACAAGAAUAUGAUAUGGCACUGAAGCCUGUAUAUUUAAUUUCAGACUUAACCAACUAUGACAUGAAACAGCAAAUAAAACCAAAAAAGAAAAGAGUCA
Molecule: long non-coding RNA, 1565 nt
Organism: Numida meleagris (helmeted guineafowl)
Lineage: Eukaryota; Metazoa; Chordata; Aves; Galliformes; Numididae
Source: Ensembl